This 406-nucleotide ribosomal RNA is filed under the name uncultured bacterium. RNAcentral describes it as "partial 16S ribosomal RNA". It matches the Rfam family "Bacterial small subunit ribosomal RNA", at positions 30 to 526 of the family's 1533-position model. The record is from RNAcentral.
AUUGAACGCUGGCGGCAGGCUUAACACAUGCAAGUCGAGCGAGCGGCGGACGGGUGAGUAAUGUCUGGGAAACGGCCUGAUGGAGGGGGAUAACUACUGGAAACGGUAGCCAAUACCGCAUACCAUCAGAUGAGCCCAGAUGGGAUUGGCUAGUAGGUGGGGUAUUGGCUCACCUAGGCGACGAUCCCUAGCUUGUCUGAGAGGAUGACCAGCGAGACUGGAACUGAGACCCGGUCCCGGCUCCUACGUGAGACAGCGUUGGGGAAGAUUGCGCAGUGGGCGCAACCCUGAUGCAGCCAUGCCGCGUGUGUGAUGAAGGCCUUCGGGUUGUAAAGCACUUUCAGCGAGGAGGCGUUACUCGCAGAAGAAGCACCGGCUAACUCCGUGCCAGCAGCCGCGGUAAUUC